RNAcentral lists this ribosomal RNA (615 nucleotides) under uncultured fungus. RNAcentral's name for it is "eukaryotic LSU rRNA". It matches the Rfam family "Eukaryotic large subunit ribosomal RNA", at positions 23 to 664 of the family's 3401-position model. Lineage: Eukaryota; Fungi. The record is from RNAcentral.
ACCCGCUGAACUUAAGCAUAUCAAUAAGCGGAGGAAAAGAAACCAACAGGGAUUGCCCUAGUAACGGCGAGUGAAGCGGCAACAGCUCAAAUUUGAAAUCUGGCUUCGGCCCGAGUUGUAAUUUGCAGAGGAAGCUUUAGGCGCGGCACCAACUGAGUCCCCUGGAACGGGGCGCCACAGAGGGUGAGAGCCCCGUAUAGUUGGACGCCUAGCCUGUGUAAAGCUCCUUCGACGAGUCGAGUAGUUUGGGAAUGCUGCUCAAAAUGGGAGGUAAAUUUCUUCUAAAGCUAAAUACCGGCCAGAGACCGAUAGCGCACAAGUAGAGUGAUCGAAAGAUGAAAAGCACUUUGAAAAGAGGGUUAAAUAGCACGUGAAAUUGUUGAAAGGGAAGCGCUUGUGACCAGACUUGCGCCCGGCUGAUCAUCCGGUGUUCUCACCGGUGCACUCUGCCGGGCUCAGGCCAGCAUCGGUUCUCGUGGGGGGAUAAAGGUCCUGGGAACGUGGCUCCUCCGGGAGUGUUAUAGCCCAGGGCGUCAUGCCCUCGCGGGGACCGAGGUUCGCGCAUCCGCAAGGAUGCUGGCGUAAUGGUCAUCAGCGACCCGUCUUGAAACACGG